CCUACGGGAUGCAGCAGUGAGGAAUAUUGGUCAAUGGACGCAAGUCUGAACCAGCCAUGCCGCGUGCAGGAAGACGGCUCUAUGAGUUGUAAACUGCUUUUGUACGAGGGUAAAUCCCGAUACGUGUAUUGGGUUGAAAGUAUCGUACGAAUAAGGAUCGGCUAACUCCGUGCCAGCAGCCGCGGUAAUACGGAGGAUUCAAGCGUUAUCCGGAUUUAUUGGGUUUAAAGGGUGCGUAGGCGGUUCGAUAAGUUAGAGGUGAAAUCCCGAGGCUCAACUUCGGAAUUGCCUCUGAUACUGUUCGGCUAGAGAGUAGUUGCGGUAGGCGGAAUGUAUGGUGGAGCGGUGAAAUGCUUAGAGAUCAUACAGAACACCGAUUGCGAAGGCAGCUUACCAAGCUACGUCUGACGUUGAGGCACGAAAGCGUGGGGAGCAAACAGGAUUAGAUACCCCUGUAGUC
RNAcentral lists this ribosomal RNA (460 nucleotides) under uncultured bacterium. RNAcentral describes it as "partial 16S ribosomal RNA". It matches the Rfam family "Bacterial small subunit ribosomal RNA", at positions 338 to 795 of the family's 1533-position model. The record is from RNAcentral.